This 254-nucleotide ribosomal RNA is filed under the name uncultured bacterium. Its description in RNAcentral is "partial 16S ribosomal RNA". It matches the Rfam family "Bacterial small subunit ribosomal RNA", at positions 524 to 776 of the family's 1533-position model. The record is from RNAcentral.
UACGGGGGGGGGCAAGCGUUGUUCGGAAUUACUGGGCGUAAAGGGCUCGUAGGUGGCCAACUAAGUCAGACGUGAAAUCCCCAGGCUUAACCUGGGAACUGCGUCUGAUACUGGAUGGCUUGAAUUCGGGAGAGGGAUGCAGAAUUCCAGGUGUAGCGGUGAAAUGCGUAGAUAUCUGGAGGAAUACCGGUGGCGAAGGCGGCAUCCUGGACCGAGAUUGACACUGAUGAGCGAAAGCCAGGGGAGCAAACGGG